GCUCCCCUAUGGACAAGCAAUGGGAAGAAAGCCCAUUACUACAUGUGCAUAAACAGAAAGAUCACGUUGUUUUCAUCUUUCACCAUGAGGAGAAGAGGAGCACUACUGGAAGAAGAGGGCAACUUACGGUAUGUGACACUAAAGGGUACCUUUGAACUCAUCAUCUGUGAGAUGCUUCAAGGUUCUAUUAAGGUAGAGCAGCAGAUCAUCCAGGUCCUUUGUGUUGCCUUGGGCUACAGCAUCAAAGAUCCUUCUGCGGUCAUAAAAUUUGAAGGCUUUUUCUGAGCAGCCUGUGAUGGAAUCUGUAGACAGGAGCCUAACAAGGGUAAAUUUCAGUUACUCAAAGACAGAUAUUUAGUAGACUUUUUAUAAACUACCAGAAUACUAUUUUUCAUUUGCUUGUGUGAAGUAGUAAGUGCUACAGAAUAGUAUAGAUGGAUCUGCAAAGUCUACAAGAUCAACAAAGUCUGCAAGCAACUGUCCUGAUAAAACUAUGUAUCUGUUCCUGAGAAGUUGUUGAAGUAUGGCAGUGUAACUGCAGGCGUGGGAGCCAGGCAAUCCCAUGUUCUCAUUCUGAGUGAUGUCCACUCACUGAACAGUCUCAAGCAAGUGAAUUAAGGCCUACUGCUAAUUUUGGGCAAAAUAUCCAUGGACUGAAUUUUCAGAGAUGCCAAGAGACAACAGCUAUUGUCACAGAUGCAACGCUCCUUAUUUUGGCAUAGAAAAUAGUGAAACUGAAAAAAUGGGCACGGUUUUGCAGAGAGAAUAAAUGCUGCUCUAAGAAA
This is a long non-coding RNA of Aquila chrysaetos chrysaetos, 785 nucleotides long. RefSeq lists it as uncharacterized. The transcript is spliced from 2 exons. The record is from RefSeq and is a predicted model, not a curated record. Lineage: Eukaryota; Metazoa; Chordata; Aves; Accipitriformes; Accipitridae.